GCCUUUCCCAGUGACAGUGAUGCUUUAUGGAAGGCUGUCUAGAGUAUGCUAAGGAGUCCCCUUCCACCACUAAUUAGCUAAGUGUUCCUUUUUUCAACUUUGAAUCAAGGCUGAAUUUUACUAAAUGCUGUUUUCCUAUUUACUGAGGUGUUCAUAUGACUCUGCCCUUUGAGCCUAUAUUAAUCUCUGUUUAUUGAUUUUUCUUUUUCUUUUUGUCACUCUGUUUUUGUGCACUGACUUUCUGGUGUUGAGCCAGCCUUGCAUUCCACCCGAUCCCGGGAGAUCAGUGUCUCCAUAUGUUACAG
RNAcentral lists this long non-coding RNA (305 nucleotides) under Marmota monax (woodchuck). Lineage: Eukaryota; Metazoa; Chordata; Mammalia; Rodentia; Sciuridae. The record is from RNAcentral.